RNAcentral lists this ribosomal RNA (465 nucleotides) under Vreelandella stevensii. RNAcentral describes it as "partial 16S ribosomal RNA". It matches the Rfam family "Bacterial small subunit ribosomal RNA", at positions 338 to 795 of the family's 1533-position model. Lineage: Bacteria; Pseudomonadati; Pseudomonadota; Gammaproteobacteria; Oceanospirillales; Halomonadaceae. The record is from RNAcentral.
CCUACGGGGGGCUGCAGUGGGGAAUAUUGGACAAUGGGGGGAACCCUGAUCCAGCCAUGCCGCGUGUGUGAAGAAGGCCCUCGGGUUGUAAAGCACUUUCAGUGAGGAAGAACGCCUGGUGGUUAAUACCCAUCAGGAAAGACAUCACUCACAGAAGAAGCACCGGCUAACUCCGUGCCAGCAGCCGCGGUAAUACGGAGGGUGCGAGCGUUAAUCGGAAUUACUGGGCGUAAAGCGCGCGUAGGUGGCUUGAUAAGCCGGUUGUGAAAGCCCCGGGCUCAACCUGGGAACGGCAUCCGGAACUGUCAAGCUAGAGUGCAGGAGAGGAGAGUAGAAUUCCCGGUGUAGCGGUGAAAUGCGUAGAGAUCGGGAGGAAUACCAGUGGCGAAGGCGGCCUUCUGGACUGACACUGCCACUGAGGUGCGAAAGCGUGGGUAGCAAACAGGAUUAGAUACCCUUGUAGUC